RNAcentral lists this ribosomal RNA (253 nucleotides) under uncultured bacterium. RNAcentral describes it as "partial 16S ribosomal RNA". It matches the Rfam family "Bacterial small subunit ribosomal RNA", at positions 524 to 776 of the family's 1533-position model. The record is from RNAcentral.
UACAGAGGUCUCAAGCGUUGUUCGGAUUCAUUGGGCGUAAAGGGCGCGUAGGCGGCGGGGUAAGUCGGGUGUGAAAUCUCAGAGCUCAACUCUGAAAUGGCACUUGAUACUGCUCUGCUAGAGGACUGGAGAGGAGAUUGGAAUUCACGGUGUAGCAGUGAAAUGCGUAGAUAUCGUAAGGAAGACCAGUGGCGAAGGCGAGUCUCUGGACAGUUACUGACACUGAGGCACGAAGGCCAGGGGAGCAAACGGG